AAAUAUAUUAAAAAAAAUGGAUUAUAGCUACCUUUACUUGAAACUUUAAACAGGGACAGAAACCAAACAAACACAAGAGGCUAACAGGAAGUGGGAGCCACUAAGGGCCUGGUGGAGAGACCUGCUAUUGAAAAGAACACCUGCAUGAGGGCCCACCAAACAAAAGACCCUCCUCACUGCUUUUAUAGUACCUAAACGGUGCCAGCUCGUGAUGGGAAGGGUGUCAAAGCGAUCCGAUUGGUGGAAAGAGAAAAGAUAGAUGGAUGAAUCGCGGCGAGGGGAGAGAGAAGAGGGCGCGCGGAAGAUGGGAGCAGACAGUAGUGAGGGAGUGUAGUUCGCUAUCGCGUCGGUAGAGGGUGCCAGAGGACGCGCCUCUGCCACGUCACGCGUUCCAGGAUUCAUUUCACUUCUUCAGCGCUUCAAGCGCACAGGCUUUGACUUCAGCGCAAAGGAUGCAGCGCGUCAAAGGAAACACAUCCAUCAAAGAUUUGCUGGACCUUUUUAUCAAUCAUGGUCUUGCUUUAUUAAGUAUACACACAGCAUCACACUGAGAGGACCAAUACACACGCAGACCAUCAUUCCUGAUUGGCAAACCCAACGCCAGAGCCUUUCUUUUGUGCUUGG
This is a long non-coding RNA of Fundulus heteroclitus (mummichog), 624 nucleotides long. RefSeq lists it as uncharacterized. The transcript has 4 exons. The record is from RefSeq and is a predicted model, not a curated record. NCBI's taxonomy places the organism in Eukaryota, Metazoa, Chordata, Actinopteri, Cyprinodontiformes, Fundulidae.